GGCAGAAUAGCUCAGUUGGAUACCUUUGGGUUAGAGCAUCUCACAUGACAUGAGAAGGUCGCAGAUUUGAAUCCUGCUUCAGCCA
Molecule: non-coding RNA, 85 nt
Organism: Favolaschia claudopus
Lineage: Eukaryota; Fungi; Basidiomycota; Agaricomycetes; Agaricales; Mycenaceae
Source: the annotation of a GenBank genome assembly